AUUGAACGCUGGCGGCAUGCCUUACACAUGCAAGUCGAACGGUAACAGGUCUUCGGAUGCUGACGAGUGGCGAACGGGUGAGUAAUACAUCGGAACGUGCCUAGUAGUGGGGGAUAACUGCUCGAAAGAGCAGCUAAUACCGCAUACGACCUGAGGGUGAAAGGGGGGGAUCGCAAGACCUCUCGCUAUUGGAGCGGCCGAUAUCAGAUUAGCUAGUUGGUGGGGUAAGGGCCUACCAAGGCAACGAUCUGUAGUUGGUCUGAGAGGACGACCAGCCACACUGGGACUGAGACACGGCCCAGACUCCUACGGGAGGCAGCAGUGGGGAAUUUUGGACAAUGGGCGCAAGCCUGAUCCAGCAAUGCCGCGUGCAGGAAGAAGGCCUUCGGGUUGUAAACUGCUUUUGUCAGGGAAGAAAUCUUCUGGGCUAAUACCCCGGGAGGAUGACGGUACCUGAAGAAUAAGCACCGGCUAACUACGUGCCAGCCGCCGCCGUAA
RNAcentral lists this ribosomal RNA (498 nucleotides) under uncultured bacterium. RNAcentral describes it as "partial 16S ribosomal RNA". It matches the Rfam family "Bacterial small subunit ribosomal RNA", at positions 30 to 523 of the family's 1533-position model. The record is from RNAcentral.